This 516-nucleotide ribosomal RNA is filed under the name uncultured fungus. Its description in RNAcentral is "SSU rRNA". It matches the Rfam family "Eukaryotic small subunit ribosomal RNA", at positions 209 to 726 of the family's 1831-position model. The record is from RNAcentral. Lineage: Eukaryota; Fungi.
AUUAGAUAAAAAACCAACGCCCUUCGGGGCUCCUUGGUGAAUCAUAAUAACUUAACGAAUCGCAUGGCCUUGCGCCGGCGAUGGUUCAUUCAAAUUUCUGCCCUAUCAACUUUCGAUGGUAGGAUAGUGGCCUACCAUGGUGGCAACGGGUGACGGGGAAUUAGGGUUCGAUUCCGGAGAGGGAGCCUGAGAAACGGCUACCACAUCCAAGGAAGGCAGCAGGCGCGCAAAUUACCCAAUCCCGAUACGGGGAGGUAGUGACAAUAAAUACUGAUACGGGGCUCUUUUGGGUCUCGUAAUUGGAAUGAGAACAAUUUAAAUCCCUUAACGAGGAACAAUUGGAGGGCAAGUCUGGUGCCAGCAGCCGCGGAAUUCCAGCUCCAAUAGCGUAUAUUAAAGUUGUUGCAGUUAAAAAGCUCGUAGUUGAACCUUGGGUCUGGCUGGCCGGUCCGCCUCACCGCGAGUACUGGUCCGGCUGGACCUUUCCUUCUGGGGAACCCCAUGGCCUUCACUGGC